GACGAACGCUGGCGGCGUGCUUAACACAUGCAAGUCGAACGGAAAGGCCCUGCUUUUGUGGGGUGCUCGAGUGGCGAACGGGUGAGUAACACGUGAGUAACCUGUCCUUGACUUUGGGAUAACUUCAGGAAACUGGGGCUAAUACCGGAUAGGAGCUCCUGCUGCAUGGUGGGGGUUGGUAAGUUUCGGCGGUUGGGGAUGGACUCGCGGCUUAUCAGCUUGUUGGUGGGGUAGUGGCUUACCAAGGCUUUGACGGGUAGCCGGCCUGAGAGGGUGACCGGCCACAUUAGGACUGAGAUGCGGCCCAGACUCCUACGGGAGGCAGCGGUGGAGAAUAUUGCACAAUGGGCGGAAGCCUGAUGCAGCAACGCCGCGUGCGGGAUGACGGCCUUCGGGUUGUAAACCACUUUCGCCUGUGACGAAGCGUGAGUGACGGUAAUGGGUAAAGAAGCACCGGCUAACUACGUG
This 468-nucleotide ribosomal RNA is filed under the name uncultured bacterium. Its description in RNAcentral is "partial 16S ribosomal RNA". It matches the Rfam family "Bacterial small subunit ribosomal RNA", at positions 28 to 507 of the family's 1533-position model. The record is from RNAcentral.